CUAGUUGGUAAGGUAACGGCUUACCAAGGCGACGAUCAGUAGCCGACCUGGGAGGGUGAUCGGCCACAUUGGAACUGAGACACGGUCCAAACGCCUACGGGAGGCAGCAGUGGGGAAUAUUGCACAAGGGGCGAAAGCCUGAUGCAGCAACGCCGCGUGAGUGAUGAAGGCCUUCGGGUCGUAAAACUCUGUCCUCAAGGAAGAUAA
This 207-nucleotide ribosomal RNA is filed under the name Clostridioides difficile. RNAcentral describes it as "partial 16S ribosomal RNA". It matches the Rfam family "Bacterial small subunit ribosomal RNA", at positions 245 to 451 of the family's 1533-position model. Lineage: Bacteria; Bacillati; Bacillota; Clostridia; Peptostreptococcales; Peptostreptococcaceae. The record is from RNAcentral.